GUGUCCUGCAGCUGCAGUGCAACUAAAUAUCAUUAAUAUUUUACAGUUUUGGGGUGAUAAUGGAAAUGCUACUGUAUGGAGUUCUGCUGUUGAUUAUUUCAUGUGUUAGUGGUCAGUCUUUGACCUCCUCAGAUUCUGUGAUAAAAACACCAGGAGAAUCAGUGACUCUGUCCUGCAGUGUGUCUGGAUUCUCAAUGAGCAGCUGGUGGACGGGCUGGAUCCGUCAGAAACCAGGAAGAGGACUGGAAUGGAUUGGGACUAUAGAUAGUGGCACAACUGCAUAUUAUGCUCAGUCUCUUCAAGGCCAGUUCUCCAUCACAAAAGACACCAGCAAAAACAUGCUGUAUUUAGAGGUGAAAAGCCUGAAGACUGAAGACACAGCUGUUUAUUACUGUGCAAGACACUCACAGUUACACAAAAGACUGCAGGGCUGAACAAAAACUAUUCAUGCAUGAAAUCACUGAAGCAAAUUUGCUGCAAACAUCUUCAAGAUUCAAAAUAUUAAUUGUUUAAUGGUAACAUUUCCUGCAACAUUUCCUCAUACACAGCUUCAAAAAUCAAUGUGUAUAAAGGUGGCCAUGAACGGGAUAAUUGUCCAUUAAAUAAAUGUAGAAAUAAAUGAAUUUAUUGAAUUCAGCUGAAGAGUUUGCAGCUAGUCAUAGA
Molecule: non-coding RNA, 663 nt
Organism: Megalobrama amblycephala (Wuchang bream)
Lineage: Eukaryota; Metazoa; Chordata; Actinopteri; Cypriniformes; Xenocyprididae
Source: the annotation of a RefSeq genome assembly